AUGUCCUUUUGAUUUUAAUUUAAGGUUUGGUCUGCUCAAUGAUGAUUUAAAUUGCCGCAGUAUUUUGACUGUGCAAAGGUAGCAUAAUAAUUAGCUUCUUGAUUAGAAGCUGGAAUGAAUGAUUGGACGAGAAAAUUUCUGUCUCUAUUUAAUUGUUUAUUGAAUUUUAUUUUUAAGUUAAAAAGCUUAAAUGUGUGUAAAAGACGAGAAGACCCUAUAGAGUUUAAUAUUUAAGUCUUAUUUUAUAUUAGGAUUUUUUUUGAAAUUUGAGUAUUUAAUUGGGGUGAUUUAAAGAUUUAAAUAAUUCUUUAAUUUUUUAAUUGAUGAUAAUUAAAUUAUAAACCUAUAGUUUUAAGUUUAAUAUAAAUUACCUUAGGGAUAACAGCGUAAUUUUUCUUUAAAGUUCUUAUUAAAAGAAGAUUUUGCGACCUCGAUGUUGGAUUAAAAUUAAUUUUUGGUGCAGUAACUUAAAAAUUGGGUCUGUUCGACCCUUAAAAUUUUACAUGAUCUGAGUUUAAACCGGUGUAAGCCAGGUUGGAUUCUAUCUUUAAAUGGAUUAUAUAUUUUAGUACGAAAGGACCAAAUAUGUAUUAUAUUAAUUG
RNAcentral lists this ribosomal RNA (602 nucleotides) under Rhyncheros sp. UPOL LF0468. RNAcentral describes it as "partial 16S large subunit ribosomal RNA". The stretch from base 378 to 536 matches the Rfam family "Bacterial large subunit ribosomal RNA", at positions 2473 to 2632 of the family's 2925-position model. The record is from RNAcentral. Lineage: Eukaryota; Metazoa; Arthropoda; Insecta; Coleoptera; Lycidae.